Molecule: ribosomal RNA, 495 nt
Filed under: uncultured bacterium
Lineage: Bacteria
Description: partial 16S ribosomal RNA
Rfam family: Bacterial small subunit ribosomal RNA
Source: RNAcentral
GACGAACGCUGGCGGCGUGCCUAAUACAUGCAAGUAGAACGCUGAAGGAGGAGCUUGCUUCUCUGGAUGAGUUGCGAACGGGUGAGUAACGCGUAGGUAACCUGCCUGGUAGCGGGGGAUAACUAUUGGAAACGAUAGCUAAUACCGCAUAAUAGUAGAUGUUGCAUGACAUUUGCUUAAAAGGUGCAAUUGCAUCACUACCAGAUGGACCUGCGUUGUAUUAGCUAGUUGGUGGGGUAACGGCUCACCAAGGCGACGAUACAUAGCCGACCUGAGAGGGUGAUCGGCCACACUGGGACUGAGACACGGCCCAGACUCCUACGGGAGGCAGCAGUAGGGAAUCGUCGGCAAUGGACGGAAGUCUGACCGAGCAACGCCGCGUGAGUGAAGAAGGGUUUCGGAUCGUAAAGCUCUGUUGUAAGAGAAGAACGAGUGUGAGAGUGGAAAGUUCACACUGUGACGGUAUCUUACCAGAAAGGGACGGCUAACUACGUG